AGCCUUAAUUUCCAUGCAUAUGUCGAAAUCUCUAUCUUUCCUUUAUGAUUUUUUUUUUCAAUCAGAUAAAUAGGUUGCAUUCUUAGGUAGAAAUGUCUCAAUUGAGUGCCGUUGAUGUUGCUUUAUUUGCUUGUAUGCCUCUUUGGCUGACUUCUUAUCUUGUAACUCUGAUCGGAAGUUUUCAUCAGGGGAGUAUUUCACUUGAACUGAUUUAAAAUGAAUGGUUUAUAGUUUUCUGGACUGUGAUCUCCAUAUUAGUAUAUUAUGGAUUGAUUUUUUGCUUUUAGGACACAUUUUUUAUGGAGAAUAUGUUAACCAGGAUAUGUUAUUAGUUUGCCUUUUGAAUCUGAUCAUGGGAUUCUGUUUGUCUUAUUUUUAUGUCAUAACUUCAAAUGUGCUUAUAAAUACUUAGAUGGUCAUCUAUUGUUAUUUGUCAUUCAUUCCAGCAUGCGUGCAACUAUGCAAGGUUACUGCAUCAUAUGUUAGGAAGUAUUUGGGGUUCUAACUUCCUUAAUUCCAAAGAUGUUCACUUGGAAAAUUUUGGUUCCUUAGUAACGUGUUUAGUUGUAGCUAACAGAAUGAUCGUCUGUCUGUGCAUGGUAAGCUUGUACUUUAGUAGUUUUUACAGGAAUGGUUCUAGAGCUAAAAUCUUAGUGAGUUAUUUUCAUUCUGAUGCAUGGGAUGGAUACAUUUGAGUGCCAUCAUUGAAUAACAAUGGCCAUGUAAUUAUCUUCUUUUAUUAGGUAAAAUGAACAUGCCAGUAUUAGCACUGUAUUUGCUCUUGUUGGCCAAUUCAUAUCUUCAACUUGGAGAGUGUAUAUUUUCCGACUUGGUUGUUACAUUUAAAUUGUUAUAAGAAAGGGUUUCCCAGUUGACAAUUCCCUCUAUUUUCUGUGUCUGAGGCAGAGGUCUCUCAUUCCAUACUCUUGGUUGAUAUUAUGUUGUCUGUACUAUCAUAUUGUGAAUGACGGGUGAUAACUUGGAAGAAACAGUCUGCAUCGAGUAUUCGUAACAGCCAAUCUUUGUUUGUAUUAACAGUGCUGGGAGUGA
This is a long non-coding RNA of Hibiscus syriacus, 1050 nucleotides long. RefSeq lists it as uncharacterized. The record is from RefSeq and is a predicted model, not a curated record. Lineage: Eukaryota; Viridiplantae; Streptophyta; Magnoliopsida; Malvales; Malvaceae. The transcript is spliced from 3 exons.